GAUCAUGGCUCGGAUUGAACGCUGGCGGCAGGCUUAACACACGCAAGUCGAACGGUAACAUAAAGAAGCUUGCUUCUUUGAUGACGAGUGGCGGACGGGUGAGUAAUGCUUGGGAAUCUAGCUUAUGGAGGGGGAUAACUACGGGAAACUGUAGCUAAUACCGCGUAAUAUCGAAAGAUUAAAGUGUGGGACCUUCGGGCCACAUGCCAUAGGAUGAGCCCAAGUGGGAUUAGGUAGUUGGUGAGGUAAAGG
RNAcentral lists this ribosomal RNA (252 nucleotides) under uncultured bacterium. Its description in RNAcentral is "partial 16S ribosomal RNA". It matches the Rfam family "Bacterial small subunit ribosomal RNA", at positions 15 to 263 of the family's 1533-position model. The record is from RNAcentral.